Molecule: RNA transcript, 2203 nt
Organism: Oncorhynchus keta (chum salmon)
Lineage: Eukaryota; Metazoa; Chordata; Actinopteri; Salmoniformes; Salmonidae
Gene name: carbonic anhydrase 6-like
Exons: 7
Source: RefSeq, a predicted model, not a curated record
AUAAGAGGCAUUAGAAGACAAACAUGUAUGUUACCAAUUGAAGGACAUCUAUUGCAGGAUAAAUCAAUGUUAAAGUUUACACAGCUGGCCAUUUAUGGAUGUUAAAUUUGACUUUGAGUUGGUUAUGUAGGCUUCUUCCAACCCAUCGCUUUCUACUGCAUAUAAUACGAUUUAAUUAUAUCUUUACCUUAAAAAACAAAGUCUAUCAGAAUUCCAGUCAUUUCAUUCAAAGUUAUACCCCUUGAUCUUCAAGAAUAGGACUUGGAAAUAUGGAAGUAUUGAUUUGCCAUAUUGUUUUACCUGAGCAUGACCCCAAAACUAAGGACUUAUUAGCCACCCCUCCUUGUAAUUGAUGCUUUUGUUGUCAUAGAGGACUGAUUGGGCUCAUUGAUUCCAGUUGAAAAAUAAAUGCUGCCCUCAUGGAAUGCAAUUCUUUGAGCACUACUGAAAAGUGCUAUUUACAUGUGGGGAAAAAAAGAAUGCCAUAUGCUGCAUUUGCUAUAGGCCUUUGUUGGUGGCACUUUGAUAAUAUGCAGCUUUUUAAAGGGCAAAUCCACAGAUGAAACAAUGACAAAACGGACGCCCCGCCUCUGUUUUGUUAAAAAGCUGAGGGAUGGGCCUUGAGAAAUUUAACCACUCUCAGACAACUAGACAGAGCUAUGGAUGCAAGGACUGACCAUCCAUGAUAUACAUAUACAAUUAUUGUUUUAACCAUGUUAUGAGGCAAUACAGUGUUUGUUUACAUUUACAAUGUUUACAAACAUUGGAAAUAAACAGAGUAUAUUUUGGAUUCUCAUGGAGUGUGACAGUUGAAAGAAGCUCAUGAGGGAUUUAUAAGUUAUAUUCUUCAAGACUCAAUGGAUAUAGAUAUAUAUCUAUCUAAUUUAUAUAUAUCUAAGUGCAAAAAAUGGAUGUAGAAACUACAGAUUGCCCCUUUAAGUCUAUCAAAAGUGUGCAAGUUUGAGCAUGUGUCCAUAGGCCUAUGGAUUUAUUUAUUUGAUCAGAAUUAAUUAGAUUGAGCAAUAAAAGCCCCACUUUUAUUCCAUAGGCUUGGAUCUGCAUUAUGCAGCUGUUGCAAGAGCUAAUGUUUUACUGGCUGUCCACUGGUUUCAAAAACAAUGUUUGAUAGGCAGCUUAAACUUCUUGAAUUCAACCAUUAUUGGGUUCAAAUACACAUUUAGAUUUGUGAACAGCCAUCCACAACAACCACAAUCCGUAGGUGCAAAUAGUUCAAAUGAGAGAGCAUGGCUACAUUGGGACAGAAAUCUAAUCAUAGAGAUAUCAAAGAUUCAUGCAUCUUUAAGCUACAUUUUAAUUAUAUUUGCUUUUCAGACAUCUGUGUGUAUUAUCCUCUAUCUCUGUUCUCUAGCCAUAGCAGACCAGCCCUGGUGUCACAAUGGUUGUGUGUGGAGGGGUUCAGAUGGUCGCCGAUCAACAUUGAUACUAACCAGCUGACCUUUGACCCCAGUCUCCGCAACCGCACCUUCAGUGACAUCCCUAAUCCACACAGCAUCAAGUUCCUCACCAACAAUGGACACACAGUGAGCUCUGUGUUAGAGGAGGGCCUGAUGGAGGUGAGAGGAGGGGGGCUCUCUCAUGGCUACACGGCCGUCAUGAUACAUUUCCACUGGGGAGGUGACUCACUGUGCCACCAAGGGUCUGAACACACAGUGGAUUCAGUCAGAUACCCCAUGGAGGUGACAGGCAAGCAAUAGCAUGUGGAAUCCUGGAGGACUUCUGCUGAAUAUAACAGAGAAGGGUUCAUCAGUUGACAUAGUGCAGCCACCAUCCAUCAGUGAUCUGCUAGGAAGUGUGGAUCUCACCAAGUUCUACUGCUACCAGGGUUCUCUGACCACCCCCACCUGCGAUGAAAUGGACCAUGUUCUUAGAGCCAAUCAAGAUGCGGAGAGAUCUAGUGAGUGGUAACCUAACAUAGCAGGCAUAAAAGACAAGCCUGAGCGGAGCUGGAAGAAACGGGAAGCAUCCGGUUUGAGUCUUCACCUCUGCUUCCUGAAAAACCGUAUGCUUACGGUUUCCUACAACCCCGCUGAAGGUGGAGCUGUUUUCCUAAAACCCUGAAGUACAGAAACAUCUCGAGGCCAGUGCAACGCUUCCCCGGGUUGUCAGUGUCCCCACUGGGCCGCAUUUGCAGCGGCCAGACUUCCAGCAGGAGGGCUCUUGUCCGGCCUACAACUACUACUAC